Molecule: non-coding RNA, 444 nt
Organism: Misgurnus anguillicaudatus (oriental weatherfish)
Lineage: Eukaryota; Metazoa; Chordata; Actinopteri; Cypriniformes; Cobitidae
Source: RefSeq, a predicted model, not a curated record
CCCGUGUGUGUACCCGUGUGCGUGCGUGCGUGUGUGCGCGCGCGCGUGCUCGCGCGUAUGUAUGUAUGCGCGUGCGUCUGUGUAUUUUGAAUUUAAAAUGUUUUAACUCGGAAGGAUCUGGAUCGCAAGUCAUUUCAUCUGAGAUCAAUCCGCACAUAUAACAGCUGGAAUCACUUACUGAUUCACACAAUGAAGGACACAAGUCAGCCGUUUCCUCAAGUUCACGUCAGAGCGGAGAUUAUGUGAGAGGCAGACCCGAGACAUAGCGAGACAGUCUCCGCUUGGACUGGCUGAGGAAAGUCUCCUAAAUGGCCCUGGAGAUGUUCUGACUGACUUUGGAGACUUUUUGGACUGUUUUAUGCCCUCUAUUUAAAGAAGACUUAAUUCUGUAUGUUCAGUCUGUAUGAUAAGUGAAUAAGUGAAUAAAAAGCUUUUGUUUUUAUG